RNAcentral lists this small RNA (28 nucleotides) under Bombyx mori (domestic silkworm). RNAcentral describes it as "ovarian small RNA-26966". The record is from RNAcentral. Lineage: Eukaryota; Metazoa; Arthropoda; Insecta; Lepidoptera; Bombycidae.
UCCAUCUAGUAGGUGGCCGUCCCACACU